GGUGGCGGUAGCGUCGUUGGCGGCAGCGGGAGUGGGUGCGGCGGCAGCGGCGGCGGCGCCCGCGGGUGGUAUAAAAUGGCGGAUUUCGAAGAGUUGAGGAGUGGCUGUACCAUUUUACAUCCCUACCAGCAAUGUAUGGAGUGAUCCAGUUUCUCUGCAUCCUCGUCAGCAUUUGGUGUUAUCAGUGUUUUUCAUUUUAGCCAUUCUGCCCAUAGAGCCAGUUGCAUUAACAUCCUUUGCCAAAUAAUGUUAUCACUGGAAAUAUGAGAUAUGAGACCUCCUAGAAAUUCCUUUGAGAGUCAAGCUUAGAAUAUGGUUUCUAGUUUUAGGGU
Molecule: small RNA, 332 nt
Filed under: Pan troglodytes (chimpanzee)
Lineage: Eukaryota; Metazoa; Chordata; Mammalia; Primates; Hominidae
Description: processed transcript
Source: RNAcentral